Molecule: ribosomal RNA, 809 nt
Filed under: uncultured Planctomycetota bacterium
Lineage: Bacteria; Pseudomonadati; Planctomycetota
Description: bacterial SSU rRNA
Rfam family: Bacterial small subunit ribosomal RNA
Source: RNAcentral
GGAUUAGGCAUGCAAGUCGCACGAGAAAGGUUUCUUCGGAAGCCGAGUACAGUGGCGAACGGGUGAGUAAUGCAUAGACAACUCGCCCUUGAGAUGGGGACAACGCCUCGAAAGGGGUGCUAAUACCCAAUGCCGCCUUGGGCCUGCGGGUCCAGGGUGAAAGGAGGCCUCUGAUUCAAGCUUCCGCUCAAGGAGAGGUUUAUGUCCUAUUAGCUAGUUGGCGGGGUAACGGCCCACCAAGGCUGCGAUGGGUAGCCGACCUGAGAGGGUGACCGGCCACAUUGGGACUGAGACACUGCCCAGACUCCUACGGGAGGCUGCAGUCGAGAAUCUUCCGCAAUGCGCGCAAGCGUGACGGAGCGACGCCGCGUGGGUGAUGAAGGCCUUCGGGUUGUAAAACCCUGUCAGCUACUACGAAACACGGGCGAUGAACAAUCGUCCCGUCUGACUUAAGUAGCAGAGGAAGCACCGGCUAACUACGUGCCAGCAGCCGCGGUAAUACGUAGGGUGCAAACGUUGUUCGGAAUCACUGGGCAUAAAGGGCGCGUGGGCGGUCUGAUAAGUCAGGUGUGAAAUCCCUCGGCCUAACCGAGGAACUGCAUUUGAUACUGUCGGGCUAGAGUACAGGAGGGGGAGAGUGGAAUUCCUGGUGGAGCGGUGAAAUGCGUAGAUAUCAGGAGGAACGCCGGCGGCGAAAGCGACUCUCUGGCCUGUUACUGACGCUGAGGCGCGAAAGCUAGGGGAGCAAACGGGAUUAGAUACCCCGGUAGUCCUAGCCCUAAACGAUGGGCACUAAGUAGAGGGGUUUU